CGGCGGACGGGUGAGUAACACGUGGAUAACCUACCUAUAAGACUGGGAUAACUUCGGGAAACCGGAGCUAAUACCGGAUAAUAUAUUGAACCGCAUGGUUCAGUAGUGAAAGACGGUUUUGCUGUCACUUAUAGAUGGAUCCGCGCCGCAUUAGCUAGUUGGUAAGGUAACGGCUUACCAAGGCAACGAUGCGUAGCCGACCUGAGAGGGUGAUCGGCCACACUGGAACUGAGACACGGUCCAG
This 244-nucleotide ribosomal RNA is filed under the name uncultured Staphylococcus sp. RNAcentral describes it as "partial 16S ribosomal RNA". It matches the Rfam family "Bacterial small subunit ribosomal RNA", at positions 96 to 334 of the family's 1533-position model. Lineage: Bacteria; Bacillati; Bacillota; Bacilli; Caryophanales; Staphylococcaceae. The record is from RNAcentral.